UACGGAGGGUGCAAGCGUUAUCCGGAAUCAUUGGGUUUAAAGGGUCCGUAGGCGGGCUAAUAAGUCAGGGGUGAAAUCCAACAGCUUAACUGUUGAACUGCCUUUGAUACUGUUAGUCUUGAAUUAUAUGGAAGUAGAUAGAAUGUGUAGUGUAGCGGUGAAAUGCUUAGAGAUUACACAGAAUACCGAUUGCGAAGGCAGUCUACUACGUAUAUAUUGACGCUAAUGGACGAAAGCGUGGGGAGCGAACAGG
Molecule: ribosomal RNA, 253 nt
Filed under: uncultured prokaryote
Description: partial 16S ribosomal RNA
Rfam family: Bacterial small subunit ribosomal RNA
Source: RNAcentral